GCCUACGGCCAAUACCACCCUGAAAGCGCCCGCUCUCGUCUGAUCUCGGAAGCUAAGCAGGGACGGGCCUGGUUAGUACCUGGAUGGGAGACCGCCUGGGAAUACCAGGUGUUGUAGACU
This is a ribosomal RNA of Xenopus tropicalis (tropical clawed frog), 120 nucleotides long. Lineage: Eukaryota; Metazoa; Chordata; Amphibia; Anura; Pipidae. The record is from Ensembl.